Molecule: long non-coding RNA, 1031 nt
Filed under: Homo sapiens (human)
Lineage: Eukaryota; Metazoa; Chordata; Mammalia; Primates; Hominidae
Description: HSALNT0221436
Source: RNAcentral
GUGUGGAGUCAAUAAGAAGAAAUUUAGCCAAACUUAUCAUUUAUGUGCCUAAGCAAUAUACAAUAUAAAAGACAUAGUCCCUUACACAAGGGACUCAGAGAAAGUCACUUAGGAUACACAUAACAUAAACCAUCAAAUGUUAAUGCUUAGAAAGCUUGAAGACAUAACAGCCUUAGGAAGGCUAAAGAUAUAACAAUUAUCUAAAUAAUUGAAGGUUGCGGCCGGGCACAGUGGCUCAUACCUAUAAUCUCUCUCCCACUUUCAUAUGCUAUUCUCAAAGGUAAAAGAAACCAUUAUAACAAUGAUGGUUGAACCAAGGCUCAGUUGAACAUUUUUUUUCUGAAAGUGAGUUAGCUUGAAGAUUCUAAGUACAGUAGAAUUUGUAAGCAGUGUACACAUGAGAAAAGUGCAUUUAGUUUAGGCUUUAUAUUCCAUGUUUUUGUCUGUUGAGACGGGGUCUCCCUUUGUUGAGCAGGUUAGAGUGCAGUGAUGUGAUCAUGACUCACUGCAGCCUCAACCACCUGGACUCAAGCAAUUCUACCACCUCAGCCUACAAAGUAGCCGGGACCACAGAUGUGAGCCACCAUGCCCAGUUAAUUUUUUGAUUAUUUGUAGAGAUGAGGUCUAUGUUGCCCAGGCUGGUCUCCAACUCCUGAGCUCAAGCGAUCCUCCCGCCUCAGCCUCCAAAAGUGCUGGGAGUACAGGUGUGAGUCACUGCACCCAGGCAAAAUUCUACUUUUUUUAGAAUCUCAUGGGAGAGAUGAGGGGGAAAAAUAAUAAGCAUUUGACAUCUUUUAAAUAAGUCUUUGAGCUCUCUUUAUAAUUUUCUCUUGAGUAUUUGCUCGUCCUUUGUAAAACUAUGGAAACACAAAAUACAUAUGAUGCUCACAAUGCUCUAGCAUUCAAAAAUUCCAGAGUAGUUUUAAUCAUUAUCUGGUCAGGAGUAACACUAGCAUUAAUAAUUUGAAUAAUGCAUUAAAAGAAAAAAAAAAGCUGUGAGCAGUGGCUCCCGGCUAAAAAUUGUUUUAGAG